RNAcentral lists this long non-coding RNA (570 nucleotides) under Homo sapiens (human). RNAcentral describes it as "HSALNT0298254". The record is from RNAcentral. Lineage: Eukaryota; Metazoa; Chordata; Mammalia; Primates; Hominidae.
GCCCGAUGCAGACACCUGCCCUUCGGCUAGCACCCCAGCUGACAUUAGCACACAGUGCCAAUGUCUGAUGUCCUGCCCUCCACUCCUAAGUGUUCUUACUUUCUCCGUUGUCAUAUCUGGGGACCAGAUAAGCUCAUGCCUACCAAUUCCUGCAUCAGUCAUUUCCAUGGCGAGGUCUUAGAUGAUUUUGAAGUGCUGUCCAGAUGGGAAAUCUGUCAAGCAUUUUUGCAUUCACCCCUUUUUCCAUAACCACCCAUGGAAAAUUAUAUGCUCAAUAUAUGUUUAUAUACUAAAUGAAUCAAUGCAUGAAUGAAUAACUGCAGAAUGAAUGGAUUUUUGUUAGCAAAAAAAUGCCUUCAAGUUCAGGUUGUAAUAAAAUGUUUUCCAAAAUCUCUGUGGACUAAAUAUGGUGGAUAGAUCACUAAAUGAAUUAAAUAAAGGUCUCCAGAGACUUAACAAUGAAGAUAACAAACACUAUACAUGCAAAGCAUUUUCAUUAAUGUAACAUGUUUUUACAUAUUUUUUUAAAAUACAAUAAAUGCAAGAGCUUUUUGAAACUCUGGUCUGUAC